UUAAUUGAAGAGUUUGAUCAUGGCUCAGAUUGAACGCUGGCGGCAGGCCUAACACAUGCAAGUCGAGCGGCAGCACAGAGGAACUUGUUCCUUGGGUGGCGAGCGGCGGACGGGUGAGUAAUGCCUAGGAAAUUGCCCUGAUGUGGGGGAUAACCAUUGGAAACGAUGGCUAAUACCGCAUGAUGCAGGAUGAUCAGCCACACUGGAACUGAGACACGGUCCAGACUCCUACGGGAGGCAGCAGUGGGGAAUAUUGCACAAUGGGCGCAAGCCUNAUGCAGCCAUGCCGCGUGUAUGAAGAAGGCUUCGGGUUGUAAAGUACUUUCAGUCGUGAGGAAGNNGGUGUUGUUAAUAGCAGCAUCAUUUGACGUUAGCGACAGAAGAAGCACCGGCUCGCACAAGCGGUGGAGCAUGUGGUUUAAUUCGANGCAACGCGAAGAACCUUACCUACUCUUGACAUCCAGAGAAGCCAGCGGAGACGCAGGUGUGCUUCGGGAACUCUGAGACAGGUGCUGCAUGGCUGUCGUCAGCUCGUGUUGUGAAAUGUUGGGUUAAGUCCCGCAACGAGCGCAACCCUUAUCCUUGUUUGCCAGCGAGUCAUGUCGGGAACUCAAGGGAGACUGCCGGUGAUAAACCGGAGGAACGUGGGGACGACGUCAAGUCAUCAUGGCCC
RNAcentral lists this ribosomal RNA (673 nucleotides) under Vibrio anguillarum. RNAcentral's name for it is "16S ribosomal RNA". It matches the Rfam family "Bacterial small subunit ribosomal RNA", at positions 1 to 1201 of the family's 1533-position model. The record is from RNAcentral. Lineage: Bacteria; Pseudomonadati; Pseudomonadota; Gammaproteobacteria; Vibrionales; Vibrionaceae.